GGCUUGCAAUACAAACCUAAAAGAGUUGUGAGGGUCAGCUGACCCUCACAACUCUUUUAGGUUUGUAUUGCAAGCCA
Echinostoma caproni is the source of this 77-nucleotide non-coding RNA. The record is from Rfam. NCBI's taxonomy places the organism in Eukaryota, Metazoa, Platyhelminthes, Trematoda, Plagiorchiida, Echinostomatidae.